CAAAGUAGGGAAGCACGUGAGCUGACUGUCAAGAAAAGCCGCUAUUGUUUGCAGGAUACCCGUACCGUAAACCGACACAGGUGGAUGAGGAGAGAAUCCUAAGGCCGACGGGAGAAGCAUUGUUAAGGAACUCGGCAAAAUGACUCCGUAACUUCGGGAGAAGGAGUGCCAGUAAGAUGGCCGCAGAGAAUUCGCCCAAGCAACUGUUUAGCAAAAACACAGGUCUAUGCAAAACCGAAAGGUGAGGUAUAUGGGCUGACGCCUGCCCGGUGCUGGAAGGUUAAGGGGAGAGGUUAGCGCAAGCGAAGCUUUGAACUUAAGCCCCAGUAAACGGCGGCCGUAACAAUAACGGUCCUAAGGUAGCGAAAUUCCUUGUCGGGUAAGUUCCGACCCGCACGAAAGGCGUAAUGAUUUGGGCACUGUCUCAACAAUGCACCCGGUGAAAUUGAAAUACCAGUGAAGAUGCUGGUUACCUGCGCCAGGACGGAAAGACCCCAUGGAGCUUUACUCCAGCUUGAUACUGGGAUUCGGUAUUGCAUGUACAGGAUAGGUGGGAGGCUAGGAAAUGGUAACGCCAGUUGCCAUGGAGCCAAUGUUGGGAUACCACCCUUGCAGUACUGGGUUUCUAACCAGCAGCCGUGAUCCGGCUGGGGGACAAUGUCAGGUGGGGAGUUUGACUGGGGCGGUCGCCUCCGAAAGGGUAUCGGAGGCGCUCAAAGGUUCCCUCAGAAUGGUUGGAAACCAUUCGAAGAGUGCAAAGGCAGAAGGGAGCUUGACUGCGACACCGACGGGUGGAGCAGGUACGAAAGUAGGACUUAGUGAUCCGGUGGUAUAAAGUGGGAUUGCCAUCGCUCAACGGAUAAAAGCUACCCUGGGAUAACAGGCUUAUCACUCCCAAGAGUUCACAUCGACGGAGUGGUUUGGCACCUCGAUGUCGGCUCAUCGCAUCCUGGGGCUGAAGUAGGUCCCAAGGGUUGGGCUGUUCGCCCAUUAAAGCGGUACGCGAGCUGGGUUCAGAACGUCGUGAGACAGUUCGGUCCCUAUCCGGCGUGGGCGUAAGAUAUUUGAGAGGAGCUGUCCUUAGUACGAGAGGACCGGGAUGGACUGGCCGCUGGUGUAUCUGUUGUCUUACCAAAGGCAUAGCAGAGUAGCCAAGCCGGGAAGGGAUAAACGCUGAAGGCAUCUAAGCGUGAAGCCCCCCUCAAGAUGAGAUAUCUCAUAACGUCAAGUUAGUAAGACCCCUUGAAGACGACGAGGUAGAUAGGGCAGAGGUGGAAGUGUGGUAACACAUGGAGCUGACUGUUACUAAUAGGUCGAGGGCAUAACC
Molecule: ribosomal RNA, 1327 nt
Filed under: metagenome
Description: bacterial LSU rRNA
Rfam family: Bacterial large subunit ribosomal RNA
Source: RNAcentral